This 502-nucleotide ribosomal RNA is filed under the name uncultured bacterium. RNAcentral's name for it is "partial 16S ribosomal RNA". It matches the Rfam family "Bacterial small subunit ribosomal RNA", at positions 30 to 523 of the family's 1533-position model. The record is from RNAcentral.
AUUGAACGCUGGCGGCAUGCUUAACACACGCAAGUCGAACGGCAGCACAGUACGUAGCAAUACGUAUGGGUGGCGAGUGGCGGACGGGUGAGUAACGCGUAGGAAUCUGCCUUGAAGCGGGGGACAACCCGAGGAAACUCGGGCUAAUACCGCAUAAUAUCGAGAGAUUAAAGCUGGGGCAACCUGGCACUUCAAGAGGAGCCUGCGUACGAUUAGCUAGUUGGUAGGGGAAAGGCCUACCAAGGCGAUGAUCGUUAACUGGUCUGAGAGGAUGAUCCGUCACGCUGGAACUGAGACACGGUCCAGACCCCUACGGGAGGCAGCAGUGGGGAAUAUUGGACAAUGGGGGCAACCCUGAUCCAGCAAUGCCGCGUGUGUGAAGAAGGCCUUCGGGUUGUAAAGCACUUUUGGCAGGGAGGAAGAUGUGGAGUUUAAGAGACACUACAUUUGACUGUACCUGCAGAAUAAGCACCGGCUAACUCUGUGCCAGCCGCCGCAGUAA